CACUACGGUGCUGAAGCAACAAAUGCCCUGCUUCCAGGAAAAGCCUCUAAGCAUCAGGUAACAUCAAAUCGUACCCCAAACCGACACAGGUGGUCAGGUAGAGAAUACCAAGGCGCUUGAGAGAACUCGGGUGAAGGAACUAGGCAAAAUGGUGCCGUAACUUCGGGAGAAGGCACGCUGAUAUGUAGGUGAAGUCCCUCGCGGAUGGAGCUGAAAUCAGUCGAAGAUACCAGCUGGCUGCAACUGUUUAUUAAAAACACAGCACUGUGCAAACACGAAAGUGGACGUAUACGGUGUGACGCCUGCCCGGUGCCGGAAGGUUAAUUGAUGGGGUUAGCCGCAAGGCGAAGCUCUUGAUCGAAGCCCCGGUAAACGGCGGCCGUAACUAUAACGGUCCUAAGGUAGCGAAAUUCCUUGUCGGGUAAGUUCCGACCUGCACGAAUGGCGUAAUGAUGGCCAGGCUGUCUCCACCCGAGACUCAGUGAAAUUGAACUCGCUGUGAAGAUGCAGUGUACCCGCGGCAAGACGGAAAGACCCCGUGAACCUUUACUAUAGCUUGACACUGAACAUUGAGCCUUGAUGUGUAGGAUAGGUGGGAGGCUUAGAAGUGUGGACGCCAGUCUGCAUGGAGCCGACCUUGAAAUACCACCCUUUAAUGUUUGAUGUUCUAACGUUGACCCGUAAUCCGGGUUGCGGACAGUGUCUGGUGGGUAGUUUGACUGGGGCGGUCUCCUCCUAAAGAGUAACGGAGGAGCACGAAGGUUGGCUAAUCCUGGUCGGACAUCAGGAGGUUAGUGCAAUGGCAUAAGCCAGCUUGACUGCGAGCGUGACGGCGCGAGCAGGUGCGAAAGCAGGUCAUAGUGAUCCGGUGGUUCUGAAUGGAAGGGCCAUCGCUCAACGGAUAAAAGGUACUCCGGGGAUAACAGGCUGAUACCGCCCAAGAGUUCAUAUCGACGGCGGUGUUUGGCACCUCGAUGUCGGCUCAUCACAUCCUGGGGCUGAAGUAGGUCCCAAGGGUAUGGCUGUUCGCCAUUUAAAGUGGUACGCGAGCUGGGUUUAGAACGUCGUGAGACAGUUCGGUCCCUAUCUGCCGUGGGCGCUGGAGAACUGAGGGGGGCUGCUCCUAGUACGAGAGGACCGGAGUGGACGCAUCACUGGUGUUCGGGUUGUCAUGCCAAUGGCACUGCCCGGUAGCUAAAUGCGGAAGAGAUAAGUGCUGAAAGCAUCUAAGCACGAAACUUGCC
Molecule: ribosomal RNA, 1244 nt
Filed under: Escherichia coli
Lineage: Bacteria; Pseudomonadati; Pseudomonadota; Gammaproteobacteria; Enterobacterales; Enterobacteriaceae
Description: partial 23S ribosomal RNA
Rfam family: Bacterial large subunit ribosomal RNA
Source: RNAcentral